AAGCGGAGGAGCUUGGUCAUUUAGAGGAAGGAAGCGUAUCAAUAAGGGGAGGAGCCCCGCGCCCGACGAAGACACCCUCGAACUCUGUCUGAAGAAUGUAGUCUGAGUGAAAAUAUAAAUUAUUUAAAACUUUCAACAACGGAUCUCUUGGUUCCGGCAUCGAUGAAGAACGCAGCGAAAUGCGAUACGUAAUGUGAAUUGCAAAUUCAGUGAAUCAUCGAGUCUUUGAACGCACAUUGCGCCCCCUGGUAUUCCGGGGGGCAUGCCUGUCCGAGCGUCAUUGCUGCCCUCAAGCACGGCUUGUGUGUUGGGCCCCGUCCUCCGAUCCCGGGGGACGGGCCCGAAAGGCAGCGGCGGCACCGCGUCCGGUCCUCGAGCGUAUGGGGCUUUGUCACCCGCUCUGUAGGCCCGGCCGGCGCUUGCCGAUCAACCCAAAUUUUUAUCCAGGUUGACCUCGGAUCAGGUAGGG
RNAcentral lists this unclassified non-coding RNA (469 nucleotides) under Penicillium chrysogenum. RNAcentral's name for it is "sequence contains 18S rRNA gene, ITS1, 5.8S rRNA gene, 28S rRNA gene". The stretch from base 128 to 280 matches the Rfam family "5.8S ribosomal RNA". Lineage: Eukaryota; Fungi; Ascomycota; Eurotiomycetes; Eurotiales; Aspergillaceae. The record is from RNAcentral.